Notechis scutatus (mainland tiger snake) is the source of this 1489-nucleotide non-coding RNA. The record is from the annotation of a RefSeq genome assembly. Lineage: Eukaryota; Metazoa; Chordata; Lepidosauria; Squamata; Elapidae.
AGUUUGCAUUUGGUUGACCUGAUGUGACUACUUUGACAUUUGGGGUAAAGGAACAAGUGUCGUAGUCACCUCAGCUGUUAAAAGAGCCCCAACUGUCUUCCCACUGUCUCCUUGUAACCAAGACACUCCCCAAGUUUCCAUCGGUUGUCUCGUCAAAGGCUACUUUCCUGAACCAGCCACAGUGCAAUGGAAUUCAGGCGCCAUCACCAGUGGAAUCCACAACUUCCCUCCACUUUUGCUUGGCUCUGACCACUAUACUCACAGCAGCCUGCUCACCAUCCCCGUCAGCCAGUGGAAAUCUGAGUCAUUCCAGUGCAACGUCUACCAUGCAGCCACCGACACCAGAAUUAACAAAAAAAUUGACCGUGCUGCAACCCGUAGUCCUGUGGGCCCUGAGAUCCAUAUGUCCCACUCUUCAUGCGAUUCCAGAGAUGGUCCCAUACAACUGUGGUGCCAGAUUUCAGGCUUCUACCCCAAACAGUUGGACAUUGACUGGAAGGUGGGCAGUCGCUCUGGAUUGCUACGUCCAUACAAUUAUCCUCCUUGGCAGAAUCCCGGCACAUAUACUUUCAGUACCGCCAGCGUAGUCAACAUCACCCAAGAUGACUGGCUGGAAGGAAAUGUUUAUUACUGUGAAGUAACCCAUGCAGCAUCACAAACCAAGGUGAAAGGCAAACUCAAAAAAUGUGAAGGUGGAAGCAGUUGUCCCUCUGGAGAUGCUAAUGUAUAUCUUCUGCCCCCAAGACCAAAAGCCUUGUACAUUGAUAGAAAUAGCAAGAUCACCUGUGUUGUGAACAAUCUGCAAAAUGAACAGGGGUUGAAAAUUACCUGGUCUCGGGAGAAAAAUGGACACCUGAAUGCUGAUGUAAUAGAAACAGUAGAAGAACCAAAUGGUACCUACACUGCUGUCGGUCGCCUCAAUGUCAUCGCUCAAGAUUGGGAAUCAGGAGAAAGUUUUACCUGUAGGGUUGAACAUCCUUCCUUUGUUAGUCCUGUCACAGAGAGCAUUUUCAAGACCAGAGGCAACAAGAAGGCACCCAAGGUCUAUGUCUACCCUCCUCACCGAGAUGAGCUCAAUCCAGGCAGAACGGUGUCUCUUAUCUGCAUGGUAAAUGAUUUUAUUCCAAUUGAGGCUGAUAUCCAGUGGCUACAGAAUCACAAUCCUGUGUCAGAAGACAAAUAUGUGACUACUCCAGCUAUGAAGAAUAAGCAUAAUGAUUCCUUCUUUGCCGUCAGCAAACUUUCUGUCCCCAGGCAAGAUUGGAAUAAUGAUUUGUUCACUUGUAUGGUGAUCCAUGAAGACCUCCCCAUGAAGUUCACCCAGAGGAACAUCUCAAAAACCCAGGGUAAAAAAUGAACCAGCUGCUCCGUUUCAAUCCAUCCUAGAUUUGCCUCUAACACUGUGAGACCAAACUGUUAAUAAUUUCCCUGCUCACCCAUUUCUCAUCUGGAUGAAUAAAAGCAAACCAUCUCAAAAAUACCCCAGGUU